CUAGCAGAGGAAUCCAUAGAUGGGACCAGCCCAUGUUAACCAUUAACACCCCAACUUCAUCCUGGUGGUGUAGCAUGACCUAGAUGAGGAGAACGACGGAGAAGAAGAGUCCAUUGCAAAGGCAGGAAAGUGGUGGAAAUAGAAGAAAUGGGAUUAGCACCUGCAUGACCCAAUGCGCCACGGUUCAGGAAUGGAUGAAUUGUGUAGUACUGUGGGCAGCUCGACCACAACCACAAGCACUUUCUGUGAGCCAAUCAAUGUGGAGAAGAAAGCAGUUCUGCCAAUGACAAGAUGGGCGGAAGUGACCAGUGCCAAGCCAAUAGGGAAUCGAUACAACGCAAAACCUGCAAGACAAUCAGAGAGGAACACACACUUUAUCAUCAUCUUGAUAGUCUUACUGGAGCACAAUCAACCUGACAUUCUACAACACUGUCGUGUGUAAGCGUGUCUGGAUGCUGGGGUGAAAUCUGACUCCAGGUUUGGGAGGGAGAGCAUCUGGAGAGCACCUAAAGCACUCCGCCCACCACUCCCAAACCUCCCGUCCAAACGGCUCCAGGACCGCCAGGACACAGGAUCAACACUUUGAAAUGAUACGUAACUUGAAGCAGAAAGUAAUGCCUCAUUCACAGCCUGAUGAUGCGUGGAAAAGAACCAGCAGAUGAAGCUGAUACGAAAGGCAUCAUGUAAAUGUUGGCGAUCUGCAGCGCUUUUAUGGCGUCUGAGACACAGGACUAAUUGUGUCCUCUGGUGAAGAUGGAUUUGCAUGCUUUAACUUAUGCAGCGUGACUCGCCUUGCUCUCGUACACUAACUCUGACACACACACACUCACUUUCAACCCCCUUCUGUUGAGCUCGCACGCUCUUACAAUUGAAACAGACCUCGUGUAUUUCCUCCUUUUCAAGAAAAUGCCAACAGGUGGAGGUUUGAUAGACCGGCCCAGACGCCAGAUCGCACAGAGCAGAAAAAAGUCCGAAUGAAAUUUGCUGGAGCAUGUGACCUGAACGGCCCAAUGACACUCGGAUGCUUUUUUUUUUUUUCAGUUGUGGGGAACGGUUAAACUUGUCGUCUGGCUAAGGGAGAAGCUUUUUCUGUGGGCCGCCACAACCACAAACCAAGUCUGCGACCGGUCACGGCUCUCUAGGCACUAGAGAUCUGCGAGAUAAAGAUAGACGAGAGGGACUGAAGAGCACGAGGGGGGAGGGAGAUGCGUGUUGAUGUCAUCGUGUGAAACAGACAAUUCGCCGGAAAAACCACAGCGACACGUUUGCGCUCCUGCUCUUUUGCACAAGGGUAAGCAUCAGUUAACCACAGGCUGACCACCGAUCGCAAUCGCCCGUGUCUGUGAACCAUGCACAGAGUCCCAGGACCGAACCGCCUCUCUGGACCGGCUCAGGGCGACCACGGGUUCCCGGGUGUGGGGCAAAACCGGGAGCCCUUCAAAAUUCGGGAGCAGAUCAAGUUGGAAGCGUUGGAUUCGGACGAAGACGAGGAGAUGGCCUCCAACAGCAUCUUCGAAAGCUUCUCGUCGUACCAGUCGUGCUUCUCCAGGGGUGAGUGUCCGAGCCGGUGUUUUACUCUCUCCACGCCGAUGUUUGCGCCAAAUGACGAAGCUGGUUUGCAGUGUCGGUGGAGUACUGAAAUCUUGUGGCUGAAUCUGAAAACCACAGGUCUGUGGGUUACUGAGUACUGGUUAACCUCAUUCAAUGCAUGCUGGACU
Pimephales promelas (fathead minnow) is the source of this 1718-nucleotide non-coding RNA. The record is from RefSeq and is a predicted model, not a curated record. NCBI's taxonomy places the organism in Eukaryota, Metazoa, Chordata, Actinopteri, Cypriniformes, Leuciscidae.